UCUCCGUAGGUGAACCUGCGGAGGGAUCAUUACAGAGUUCAUGCCCUACCGGGUAGAUCUCCCACCCUAUGAUAUUAUUACUUUGUUGCUUUGGCGGGCCGUUAGGCUCCGGCCCGACUACCGGCCCCGGCUGGUAAGCGCCCGCCAGAGGACCCAAAACCCUGAAUAUUAGUGUCGUCUGAGUACUAUAUAAUAGUUAAAACUUUCAACAACGGAUCUCUUGGUUCUG
This 229-nucleotide unclassified non-coding RNA is filed under the name plant metagenome. Its description in RNAcentral is "partial contains small subunit ribosomal RNA, internal transcribed spacer 1, and 5.8S ribosomal RNA". The record is from RNAcentral.